GUCUUUUAGAGUUAGAAUUUAAAGUCUAGCCUGCCCACUGAAAAUUUAAAUGGCCGCAGUAAUUUGACUGUGCAAAGGUAGCAUAAUCAUUAGUUUUUUAAUUAGAAGCUAGAAUGAAUGGUUGGACGAGAUAUAAUCUGUCUUUGGAUAAAAAAUAGAAUUUAAUUUUUAAGUUAAAAAGCUUAAAUGGUAAUAAAAGACGAGAAGACCCUAUAGAUUUUUAUAUUAUUAUUUUUAUUAUAGAUUAGGAUUAUUUUAUUUAUUAUAUUUAAUUAUAUUUUAUUGGGGUAAUAAGGAGAUUAAAUUAAUUCUCUUACAUAUUUUACAAUAAUGUUUGAUUUAUUUGAUCCUUUAUUAUAGAUUAAAAGAUUAAGUUACCUUAGGGAUAACAGCGUAAUUUUUUUGAAGAGUUCAUAUCGAUAAAAAAGUUUGCGACCUCGAUGUUGGAUUAAAAAUUAUUCUAGGAGUAGAAGUUUAGAGUUUUGGUCUGUUCGACCAUUAAAUUUUU
This 508-nucleotide ribosomal RNA is filed under the name Megaporus rufipes. RNAcentral's name for it is "partial 16S ribosomal RNA". The stretch from base 385 to 508 matches the Rfam family "Bacterial large subunit ribosomal RNA", at positions 2473 to 2597 of the family's 2925-position model. The record is from RNAcentral. Lineage: Eukaryota; Metazoa; Arthropoda; Insecta; Coleoptera; Dytiscidae.